Molecule: ribosomal RNA, 566 nt
Filed under: Turbinella rapa
Lineage: Eukaryota; Metazoa; Mollusca; Gastropoda; Neogastropoda; Turbinellidae
Description: partial 16S ribosomal RNA
Rfam family: Bacterial large subunit ribosomal RNA
Source: RNAcentral
CGCCUGUUUUUAUCAAAAACAUGGCUCUCUGUAUACUAAAGAUAGAGAGUCGGACCUGCCCGGUGAAUUUUUUAACGGCCGCGGUACUUUGACCGUGCAAAGGUAGAAUAAUCAUUUGCCUUAUAAUUGAAGGCUAGAAUGAAUGGUUUGACAAGAAUACAGCUGUCUCUUUACAAUUACAUAAAAUUUUAUCUGCAGCUGAAGAAGCCUGCAUUUGAAUAAAAGACAAGAAGACCCUAUCGAGCUUAAAAAAAACCAGUAGAAUAACAAAUAAUUCUUGACUUAUAAAUAAAUAAAUAGUCAACUACUGGAAACUUUGGUUGGGGCGACCAGGGAACAAAGAAAACUUCCUUUAUAAAAUUUAGAUAUGCAAGUGUUGAUCCAGUGUUAUUUGAUUAAAGAAAUUAGUUACCGUAGGGAUAACAGCAUUAUCCUUUUUAAGAGUUCCUAUCGAAAGAAGGGUUUGUGACCUCGAUGUUGGACCAGAAUAUCCUAAAGAUGCAGCCGUCUUUAAGGGUUGGUCUGUUCGACCAUUAAAAUUCUACGUGAUCUGAGUUCAGACCGGA